This 261-nucleotide signal recognition particle RNA is filed under the name Papio anubis (olive baboon). RNAcentral's name for it is "Metazoan signal recognition particle RNA (ENSPANG00000041460.1)". It matches the Rfam family "Metazoan signal recognition particle RNA". From Rfam's summary of the family: The signal recognition particle (SRP) is a universally conserved ribonucleoprotein. It is involved in the co-translational targeting of proteins to membranes. The eukaryotic SRP consists of a 300-nucleotide 7S RNA and six proteins: SRPs 72, 68, 54, 19, 14, and 9. The record is from Rfam by way of RNAcentral. Lineage: Eukaryota; Metazoa; Chordata; Mammalia; Primates; Cercopithecidae.
GCCGGGCGCGGUGGCUCAAGCCUGUAAUCCCAGCACUUUGGGAGGCCGAGACGGGUGGAUCACGAGGUCAGGAGAUCAAGACCAUCCUGGCUAACACGGUGAAACCCCGUCUCUACUAAAAAAAUACAAAAAACUAGCCGGGCGAGGUGGCGGACGCCUGUAGUCCCAGCUAGUUUUUUGUAUUUUUUUAGUAGAGACGGGGUUUCACCGUGUUAGCCAGGAUGGUCUCGAUCUCCUGACCUCGUGAUCCACCCGUCUCUA